RNAcentral lists this ribosomal RNA (502 nucleotides) under uncultured Glomeromycotina. RNAcentral's name for it is "partial small subunit ribosomal RNA". It matches the Rfam family "Eukaryotic small subunit ribosomal RNA", at positions 591 to 1092 of the family's 1831-position model. Lineage: Eukaryota; Fungi; Glomeromycota. The record is from RNAcentral.
CCAAUAGCGUAUAUUAAAGUUGUUGCAGUUAAAAAGCUCGUAGUUGAACUUCGGGGUCUACCCAUUGGUCAGGCUUAAUUGUCUGCACUGGUGAGAUGGAUCUCUACCUUCUGAGGAACUUUCAUGCCAUUUAUUUGGUGUGAUGGGAAAUCAGGACUGUUACUUUGAAAAAAUUAGAGUGUUUAAAGCAGACUAUCGUCUGAAUACAUUAGCAUGGAAUAAUGAAAUAGGACGGACUGAUUCUAUUUCGUUGGUUUCUAGGAUCACCGUAAUGAUUAAUAGGGAUAGUUGGGGGCAUUAGGAUUCAAUUGUCAGAGGUGAAAUUCUUGGAUUUAUUGAAGACUAACUACUGCGAAAGCAUUUGCCAAGGAUGUUUUCAUUAAUCAAGAACGAAAGUUAGGGGAUCGAAGACGAUCAGAUACCGUCGUAGUCUUAACCAUAAACUAUGCCGACUAGGGAUCGGAUGAUGUUAAUUUUUUAAUGACUCAUUCGGCGCCUUACG